GUCAAUGGGCGCAAGCCUGAACCAGCCAUCCCGCGUGCAGGAAGACGGCCCUAUGGGUUGUAAACUGCUUUUCCAGGGGGAGAAUUUUUCUGUCGUGACAGGAAUUGACGGUACCCUGGGAAUAAGCAUCGGCUAACUCCGUGCCAGCAGCCGCGGUAAUACGGAGGAUGCGAGCGUUAUCCGGAUUUAUUGGGUUUAAAGGGUGCGUAGGCGGAUUGAUAAGUCAGUGGUGAAAACCUGCAGCUUAACUGUAGCCCAGCCGUUGAUACUGUCAGUCUUGAGUGUGGUCAAGGUAGGCGGAAUGUGUAAUGUAGCGGUGAAAUGCUUAGAUAUUACACAGAACACCGAUUGCGAAGGCAGCUUACUGGGCCAUUACUGACGCUGAUGCACGAAAGCGUGGGGAUUGAACAG
RNAcentral lists this ribosomal RNA (411 nucleotides) under uncultured bacterium. RNAcentral's name for it is "bacterial SSU rRNA". It matches the Rfam family "Bacterial small subunit ribosomal RNA", at positions 367 to 775 of the family's 1533-position model. The record is from RNAcentral.